RNAcentral lists this transfer RNA (74 nucleotides) under Ixodes scapularis (black-legged tick). Its description in RNAcentral is "tRNA-Ser". Lineage: Eukaryota; Metazoa; Arthropoda; Arachnida; Ixodida; Ixodidae. The record is from RNAcentral.
UCUCCUGGGUCGCUCAGUUGGUAGAGCGCUCCACUGGAAAUAGUGAGGUCCCUGGUUCGAUCCCACGACGAGAU